RNAcentral lists this ribosomal RNA (1364 nucleotides) under metagenome. Its description in RNAcentral is "bacterial SSU rRNA". It matches the Rfam family "Bacterial small subunit ribosomal RNA". The record is from RNAcentral.
GGACGGGUGAGUAACGCGUGGGAAUCUGCCCUCAGGAGGGGGAUAACGGCUGGAAACGGCCGCUAAUACCCCAUAUGCCGAGAGGUGAAAUGAAUUUCGCCUGAGGAUGAGCCCGCGUCUGAUUAGCUAGUUGGUGUGGUAAUGGCUCACCAAGGCUUCGAUCAGUAGCUGGUCUGAGAGGAUGAUCAGCCACACUGGGACUGAGACACGGCCCAGACUCCUACGGGAGGCAGCAGUGGGGAAUUUUCCGCAAUGGGCGAAAGCCUGACGGAGCAACGCCGCGUGAGGGAUGAAGGCCUCUGGGCUGUAAACCUCUUUUUUCAAGGAAGAAGACCUGACGGUACUUGAAGAAUAAGCCACGGCUAAUUCCGUGCCAGCAGCCGCGGUAAUACGGGAGUGGCAAGCGUUAUCCGGAAUUAUUGGGCGUAAAGCGUCCGCAGGCGGCCCUGAAAGUCUGUCGUUAAAGCGUGGAGCUCAACUCCAUUUAAGCGAUGGAAACUACAGGGCUAGAGUGUGGUAGGGGCAGAGGGAAUUCCCGGUGUAGCGGUGAAAUGCGUAGAUAUCGGGAAGAACACCAGUGGCGAAGGCGCUCUGCUGGGCCAUAACUGACGCUCAUGGACGAAAGCCAGGGGAGCGAAAGGGAUUAGAUACCCCUGUAGUCCUGGCCGUAAACGAUGAACACUAGGUGUCGGGGGAAUCGACCCCCUCGGUGUCGUAGCCAACGCGUUAAGUGUUCCGCCUGGGGAGUACGCACGCAAGUGUGAAACUCAAAGGAAUUGACGGGGGCCCGCACAAGCGGUGGAGUAUGUGGUUUAAUUCGAUGCAACGCGAAGAACCUUACCAGGGUUUGACAUCCUGCGAAUCCCUUGGAAACGAGGGAGUGCCUUCGGGAGCGCAGAGACAGGUGGUGCAUGGCUGUCGUCAGCUCGUGUCGUGAGAUGUUGGGUUAAGUCCCGCAACGAGCGCAACCCACGUCGUUAGUUGCCAGCAUUCAGUUGGGCACUCUAGCGAGACCGCCGGUGAUAAACCGGAGGAAGGUGUGGAUGACGUCAAGUCAUCAUGCCCCUUACAUCCCGGGCUACACACGUACUACAAUGCUACGGACAAAGGGCAGCAAGCUCGCGAGAGUUAGCAAAUCCCAUAAACCGUGGCUCAGUUCAGAUCGUAGGCUGCAACUCGCCUACGUGAAGGAGGAAUCGCUAGUAAUCGCAGGUCAGCAUACUGCGGUGAAUACGUUCCCGGGCCUUGUACACACCGCCCGUCACACCAUGGAAGUUGGCCACGCCCGAAGUCGUUACUCCAACCCUUGUGGAGGAGGACGCCGAAGGUGGGGCUGAUGACUGGGGUGAAGUCGAAACAAGGUA